CAGGGCCUUGCUCAACAAAUAGAGGCGACGCCCUGACUUGGGGCCGUGGCCACCGCGAUAGGGAGGAGGCCAGUGCGUGGGGACUUGCCUCGACUCCAGGGGAGUGGUUAAAGAAUGUGGGCGUGACUAGGUCGUGGGGCGUGGCCAGUGGGUGGGGUGUAGCAGAUGGGGCAUGGCUAUGCCAUGGGGGCGUGGCCUUUGUGUAUAGGAUUGACGGGGCCUCACAGAGGAUGGGGCGUGGCUAUGUCAUGGGGCGUGGCCUUUGUGUGAAGCUUAGGGCAUAGCAGUGGAGGGGCGUGGCUCGGGCUGGAGGCGUGGUCAUCAGGGGGCGUGGCUCGGGCUCAAGGAGGCAUUCCCGGGCGCUCAGGUGAGCGCUCUCUGGAUCUAACAGUCCUUGGGGAGCCGAUGCCGGUGACCGGGCCGCGGGCAGACACGCAGGCGCCCGGAAGACACAGCAGGGCUGCAGGCAAGUGAAGAGUGACUGGCGCCUGGGCGUGCGGUGCGGGGUCUCGGGGGAGGUGGGCCUGGCACACCGGGGAGAGGGGACAGAAGAGGGAUAUAGAGGGGUUGGGCGGGAUGGGAGGCGGGGCCUGGGGAAGGGGCGGGGCCUGGACAAAGGGCACGGCCUCUGACCGCACCCCUCGCCCCCUCCCAGCUGCCCAGCCCUCCCAGCCAUGUGGCGCCCGCUGGUCCUGCCGCCCCUGCUGCUGCUGCUCCCCUGCGCACCCGCCCCCACUGCCAGUCCCAUCCAGGCCGCCAAACCCCAGGACGGCCUGCAGAGCCUACUCCAAGGUUGCCGUCGCCUCUUGUUGGGGUUUGGGGAGAGGAGGAGGAGAGAGAGGAGGGGCGGGGGCAGACAGCAAGAGAGGAAGUCAGAGAGACAGACAGGGAUAUAGGGAGGGGCCCGAGGAACCCAGACAGAGGUACAGCAGGACAGACGAGGGGCAGGAAUAAGGAGAUGGUGGAUGGAAUAGGGACAGGGCAGAGGGAUAGGGACCCAGAUAAGAACAGGGGACAAGAUUGGGGGGUGGACUGGCUCGGCCCUGAGGGUCAGAGCAUCGUGGAAGAGGGUGGAGAGGAAAGGGGGUGGGAGGGACAUGGGGCCCGGCCCGAAGAGGCAUCCAACACUCAGACCACUUUCUGCGAGCCCUCGUGGCACCGGCUGUGGGACAGGGACAGCUGCCUCUCUGCCCCGUGGACCUCAGUGCCUCCCCAGGACUGCCACUGCGCAGAGGACCAGGAGUGCUGGCUGGAGAACAGCACCCCUUCUAGCCAGCACCAGGAAGCCCGUCGCGGAGCCCAACUUGUUCCUCUUCACCAGGUGCCCAAGCUGGAGGAGACGCAGAGCUGGUGGCACUGGCAAAUCCGGCCCCUCACUCUGGCGGUCCUCCCAGGUCGUGAGGUGACUGCCCUGGCGGUGCAGCCAGCAGCCUGGGAGGCAGGCCUGCAGCUCCUUCAGAAGCAUCCAUGGCCACCAGCCUUCUGCGACAGGCUCCUUAAGGGGGCCCUCCUGGCACGGGGACCUGAGGCCUCCCCCGCCCCAAAGGGCCCGCCCCAAGACCCACUUGUUGUCCCUUUCCGGGCUCAGCAGCAGCCGCAGGGGCCGGGGGUGGACAUCAGAGCCCUGGCAGGGGACAGACGUGCACCCUCCCCAGACCCCACCCCAGCGCCACUGAGAAAUCAAGUUCUUUCUCUCAGCCAUCUGCGCUGCUUCCUCUCGGGACCUGUCCCCAGCACCCGGCCGACUGAAACGAUUUCUUUGCUUUUACAAGCUCCUGAGGCAGGAACCGGUCCUGCUUCCUGCUGUGUUGCCUGAUGCUUACCAGAGAGCGUGGCUCACGCUUAGUUCUCAAAAACAGUUCGUUGUGGAGAAUUGAGUUGAGUUGAGUCCACGGCUGACUGGAGGGACGCCCUCUCUGACGCCCUAGCGCCAGGCUUCCACGUCAGUAUUUCCUAAAACGGUGAUCACGUGAGACUGUUUAAAGAUGCUACAGUCCUGUCAUCCUAAUGCUGAAAAUUGAAGAUAGCACUCACAUGGAUGGUCCAUUAGGAAUGGAGAAAAGUGAGACAUCAUUACAGAGCCUAUAAGAAGCUGUUCCAAACGUUCUAUACCAAUACAUUUGAAAAUCGGGAUAAAACGGGCAACUUUCUAGAAAACACUCACUGAAACUGAGACAAGAAAUUGAAUCUGUAGUUUAAAAUCUUCCCACCAACAAAUCUACAGGCUCAGAUGACCUCAUUAGUAAAUCUAGGAAAAUAUUAAUGGCAAUCUUACAUAAACUCCAGAGAAUGGAUAACUUGUGUUCGGAAACCAGAAUAGCCUUGUUGCAAAACCCAAAAAGUAAAUUUUGAGACAGGAAAAGUUUCGGUCCAGUAUCUUUCAUAAACGUAGGUGCCAAGAUCUUAAGAUGUUAGCAAAAUGAAUCACCACCAGAAGGCAGGGAAUUGUGGGAAUGAUGACUGACUUAGGUAGAAACGCUCAGCCAUAGGUUGCCGGCCACACAGCUUUUCUGGUGAGCCACACGAUAGGAUCCUGUAACUGAAGACAGAAAUAAGAUUUCACGUGUGUGGAACUUCAGUGCUGGACUAGUUUUCUUCAGGGGAAAAUGAGACUCAGAUGAAAUGUUAAUUUUGCAGAGAGUAAGGAAGAAACCUAUCCUGGACAGAUUUUCCUUUCUUCUAGUCUGGUUUUGAUCUGCUGCAAGACUGAUUUGCUGACAAAGGCAUCUCAAAAGGUUCAUUCAUGGUGGAGCCGCCACUCCUGAGGACCUCACCCAGAAUGGAGCUCGCCUGGGGGAAAAAUCCACAAGCCACCCCUACAGAGGCCAGAGCACGGGGCCUGUGUCCAGAGGGAGAAGCAGGUCGCUAGUGUCAGAUGCUAAUGGAUGACUGACUUACAAUCCUUUCUGUCCAGAUGACGGGUUCUAGCCUUUAUGGUUGCGAAGAAACCUGCGUAGGCUCUUACUGCCAUGUGUGCAUGCUCAAGAGGAAGGGGGAGCAGGUUUGGGGUUCACUCAGGAGGAGGGAAACUGCUUUCCGUAAGGAUGAGUGUGGUCCCCGAAGGUGGUAAAGCCAGCAGGGCAGUGGGGCAGUGGUGUGACGGUGAGUGCCAACAACCGGCUCUCUGAGUGAACACAAAGCCCUCAAUGAUAGCAUUUGCCAAUUUCUAUGGUGUCAAUAAGCCUGCUCUGGUCCAUCUAAAGCUACCAAUGUGAUGUGAACCGGCUCACAAAAUCCUUGAAAAGUCAAGAACUGGCUCUCAGGAGCCAGUAGGAGCCACACCUCCAGCCCUCCAUCUUCACAGACGGUGCCGUCUUCUGCUUCUCAUCUCCUCAGACCGUUUGGAACCGACAUCAUCCAGGCCUUCCUGCAAAGACCUGGGGCAGGUGGGAAAGGAUGCUGCAGCCACGGCCAGUGGGUGGAAGGGCUGUUCUGGUGAGAAAAAGCUGACAGGCCUGACGUCUGAAGUUCUGCAGAAGGCAGAUAAAGGACAGAAUCAUAAUUUCACAAUCAUCUGCCUUGAGUCUUAGAAGGCACACUUUAGAGCAGUAAUCGCGAGAGAUCCUGAUAUGGGUCGUUGUGGGUCAAAGCUUCUGUGGAAGGAAAUUGGCGCAGCUGGUCUGGUCUCCUGAAGCUUCUCAUAGAUUUCAGAAAAGGGUCCCCGGGGGUCUGGUCUCCCCUUGAGCAAGUCACUUGGAAUGGAGGGGAGUCACCGCUCUUCAGACCCACUGGAAGGCAGGGGGUUCCCUCUUCCCCAUACCCCUUCGAGGCCACCCUCUGUGGGGCUGAGGUCACCGUAACAGAACGGAGCUCUUCAGAUCUCUUCCGCUCCUCAGAAAAGACCACUCCCCGUGGCCCUGACCCCACUGGUGCACACAGCCAAUGCCUUUUAGGUCACUGGCAUGCAGCUCUUCAACGGAGUUGUGGCAACAGCUCCCUGUGCUUUUUUUCACUAAAGUGUUACUGUUUGCUAUACAUCAGUUUCCAUUGACUAUAUUUGGGAUGCAUGAUGCCCAGUUACCUGAAAAUGAGGUGCCAGGGAUCCGAUUAUUUACAAAAGUGGCCUUCCUCACUGGAAAAUAAAUUGGGAUCUGGAAAAAUCUUAUGCUGUGGGCAACACUUGUCUCCCACACCUCACGUUUCCUGGAAAGGGAUUUUGACAACUUCCAGGAAGUAUGGACUGCCUUCCCAUGCCCUCCGCCCUUUGCUCACCUGGCUGCACAGUGCUGCUGAGCUCACAGAUGGCACUGAGUACUCCAGGCAGACCCCAGCCAGUCUCCCCGAGGGGACAGCCCGUCCUCAGGUCCUUCUCCCUUCCCUCACAGAAGACCCCUGGCUGGCAGGCACACGUGGGCAGCCCAUGUGGUCCCAGCUCCAGGUGGUGCCUCCCAUUCAGUAUUCGUCGUAAUGAAGCUGGUAUUGUCACUUCCACAUGUCUGACUCCUGUGUGUGUGUCUCUGGAUCGCAAACUCAGCACGGGAAGAGAAAGGUGUUGACUGCCUUCCACGGGCCCCCAGAUGUGCGUUGUUAUGGACACUGGCUGCAUACGUGAGUGUCUGCGUCAGCUUCAACAUCUUUGCUCUGCUCCAUCCUCCGCUUCUCCAUAACAACAGGGCCAAAACUAUAAUUGCCCCCAGAACAUGCAGGAUGCGACACCCCCAGACCUACUGACCACCUGGAACAAUCUGGGGUGGGGGGGGAGGCGUGGCUGUUAAACACACAUAUUUAUCCCCACUCCGCCUGAAAACCCACAACAAGGAAUUUAUUUUUUUAAAAGGCUUAGCGAGUGGGCGAAAGUGGCUUAGACCACUUAGUGAGUGGGGCCCUGCGGCUCAGAGGGCGCGGGGUCCCCUCCUGCCGGGUCUCCCCCAGCCCGCUGCGCCCGGGUUGGCCGGCCCCCCAGGCCUAGGACCGCGUCCUAGACGGCAUCUCGGCCGGUGUGACUCGCCCUGCAUCCCAUGCGCGUGGGGCCAGGCUGAGAUGCGGGGUCUGCGGGCUGUCCCAGACCACCAGGGCCCUCUGCCGUCGGGCAGCGGCGCUCCCGUUCUGGAGGGAAACAGGGUAGCAAUCAUGGUCACUGGCAGAUAAUGAAACGCUCCCUUAGAAUGACAGCGAC
RNAcentral lists this long non-coding RNA (5116 nucleotides) under Equus caballus (horse). Its description in RNAcentral is "lncRNA (ENSECAG00000057240.1)". Lineage: Eukaryota; Metazoa; Chordata; Mammalia; Perissodactyla; Equidae. The record is from RNAcentral.